GACGAACGCUGGCGACGUGCCUAACACAUGCAAGUCGAACGAGAUCUUCGGAUCUAGUGGCGCACGGGUGCGUAACGCGUGGGAAUCUGCCCUUGGGUUCGGAAUAACAGUGAGAAAUUACUGCUAAUACCGGAUGAUGUCUUCGGACCAAAGAUUUAUCGCCCAGGGAUGAGCCCGCGUAGGAUUAGCUAGUUGGUGGGGUAAUGGCCUACCAAGGCGACGAUCCUUAGCUGGUCUGAGAGGAUGAUCAGCCACACUGGGACUGAGACACGGCCCAGAAUCCUACGGGAGGCAGCAGUGGGGAAUAUUGGACAAUGGGCGAAAGCCUGAUCCAGCAAUGCCGCGUGAGUGAUGAAGGCCUUAGGGUUGUAAAGCUCUUUUACCAGGGAUGAUAAUGACAGUACCUGGAGAAUAAGCUCCGGCUAACUCCGUGCCAGCAGCCGCGGUAA
RNAcentral lists this ribosomal RNA (449 nucleotides) under uncultured bacterium. RNAcentral's name for it is "partial 16S ribosomal RNA". It matches the Rfam family "Bacterial small subunit ribosomal RNA", at positions 28 to 523 of the family's 1533-position model. The record is from RNAcentral.